This 60-nucleotide microRNA precursor is filed under the name Mus pahari (shrew mouse). RNAcentral's name for it is "microRNA 7662 (MGP_PahariEiJ_G0007760.1)". The record is from RNAcentral. Lineage: Eukaryota; Metazoa; Chordata; Mammalia; Rodentia; Muridae.
AGGGUUGAGGCCCAGAUCCAACACACUGCUUCAGAGCUGAGCCGGGCAGAUCGGCCUGGC